GAUGAACGCUGGCGGCGUGCCUAAUACAUGCAAGUCGAACGCGGGCACUUGUGCCCGAGUGGCGAACGGGUGAGUAAUACAUAAGUAACCUGGCCUUUACAGGGGGAUAACUGCUGGAAACGGCAGCUAAGACCGCAUAGGUAGGGACACUGCAUGGUGACCGUAUUAAAAGUGCUGCAAGGCACUGGUAGAGGAUGGACUUAUGGCGCAUUAGCUGGUUGGUGAGGUAACGGCUCACCAAGGCGACGAUGCGUAGCCGACCUGAGAGGGUGACCGGCCACACUGGGACUGAGACACGGCCCAG
Molecule: ribosomal RNA, 304 nt
Filed under: uncultured bacterium
Lineage: Bacteria
Description: bacterial SSU rRNA
Rfam family: Bacterial small subunit ribosomal RNA
Source: RNAcentral